Molecule: long non-coding RNA, 969 nt
Filed under: Homo sapiens (human)
Lineage: Eukaryota; Metazoa; Chordata; Mammalia; Primates; Hominidae
Description: non-protein coding lnc-ZEB1-11:3
Source: RNAcentral
CCCGUUUCGGCUCGGUGAAGCUACCUAUGGGUUGCUGUUCAUUUAACAAACGGUGAUCCGGAUAAACAUGUUCACUUCUUCGCCUGGGCAAACUUUCCAGCCCCCGACCCACUCAUGUCACGAUACCUUCCCGUGUCCAAGUCCGGCUCUCUGCUCCCCACUUUUUUUUUUUUUUUUUUUUGAGACAGAGUGUUUCUCUGUCUCCCAGGCUGGAGUGCAGUGGCGCGAUCUCAACUCACAGUACCCCCUGCCUCCCGGGUUCAAACGAUUUUCUUGCCUCAGCCUCCUGAGUAGCUGGGAUUACAGGCGCGCGCCACCACAGCCGGCUAAUUUUUAUGUUUUAGUAGAGACAGGGUUUCACCAUGUUGGCCAGGAUGGUCUCCAUCUCUUGACCUCGUGAUCCGCCCGCCUCGGCCUCUCAAGGUGCUGGGAUUACAGGUGUGAGCCGCCGCGCCCGGCCUCUUUGCUCUUUUAUACUCUCAGAAGCAAUGAGUUCUGGUUAAAAAAAAGGGCUCGAUAGACGGAAAAAAUGAAGGCUUAAAGAACUGACAACAAAAUAUUAACAUUUGGCUUGUGGAAUUCUUACACUCUCGUAAGCAGAAAAAACAAAUGUUAUGGCAAAAAAGUGUCUCAGACAAAUCCGUCUUGGGGGGAAAAAAAUUAAAAGAAUGAGAAAAACAGACUUCGGAAUAAAUAGACCCAAAGGAGGAAGUAUUGAAAAUGGCAAGAUUCACUUUUACAAACUUAUUUGGAACCACGGCAGAUGGCCAGGGCAGGGAUUUUGCAAGGCAGCUCCAGUUGAGCAGUUGAUUUCUCACCGCCCACCCCCGACCCCACCACUAUUGAUCAUGAGGUGCUUUGAGGGGUCCGGGUUUGGAGGACUGAAACACCGUGGGAUCUUGGAACAGCUCUUCCUUGUUGGUGAUCCCUUAUUAAGAAGCCCUCCAGCCUGACAAUGCUGAAGCCCUG